Molecule: ribosomal RNA, 768 nt
Filed under: Triticum aestivum (bread wheat)
Lineage: Eukaryota; Viridiplantae; Streptophyta; Magnoliopsida; Poales; Poaceae
Description: partial small subunit ribosomal RNA
Source: RNAcentral
AUGGCGGGGGUGAGCACUGCGACGGGGGCGAUGAGCUCCCUCCUUUGCAAGCUCGCCACCUUGCUCACCAACGAGUACAAGCUGCUUGCGGGGGUUCACAAGCAGAUCGAGUUCCUCCAGCGCGAGCUCAGCAGCAUGCAAGUCUUGCUGGAGAGACUGGCGGACAUGGAGGAGAAACUCGACACCACAGCCAAGGACUGGAGAGGCAAAGUGCGCGACCUCAGCUAUGACAUAGAAGACUGCAUCGACCGCUUCAUGGACCGGCUUGGAAGCGGAGAAGCCAAGCGGGGAUUUAUGAAGAGAACCGCGCACCGGCUUAGAACGCUGUGGGCGCGCCAUGAUAUCGCGACCCAGAUCAAGGACCUCAAAGCUCGCGUCAUCGAGGAGAGCCAGCGGCGUGACAGGUACAAGCUUGAUGAGAGUUGCUACACUCCACCACAAAUUGUGGAGGUUGAUCCACGGAUAACUGCACUCUACGACGAUGUCAGUGGCUUGGUGGCAAUAGAUGGCCCAGUGAAGGACAUCGAUUCCUUGUUGAUGGAUGAGAAAGAAAUGCAGCUGAAAGUGGUGGCCAUUGUGGGAUCCGGAGGACUGGGGAAGACGACCCUAGCCAUGGAGGUCUAUCGCAAGAUCGGAGGAGACUUCCAGUACCGAGCUUCUGUGUCUGUGUCACGUACACUUGAUCUAGAGAAUCUUUUGAAGGAUAUCUUGUCUCAAAUUGACAAAGAUGCGUAUGGAGAGUGUCAAUCAGAGGGUUGGAGAUUCUAA